Long non-coding RNA from Carassius carassius (crucian carp), 4197 nucleotides. RefSeq lists it as uncharacterized. The record is from RefSeq and is a predicted model, not a curated record. The transcript has 2 exons. Lineage: Eukaryota; Metazoa; Chordata; Actinopteri; Cypriniformes; Cyprinidae.
UUGGAUUAGAACAUUAUUAAGCCACGUUAAGAAUUUGGAGCGACGUGACAGUGAGUAAAUGAUGACAAAACAUUUUAAUUUGCGGUGAACUAUUCCUUUAAAAUGUGCAGCAAAUGCACAUAAACAAUGUAAAAGCCUUGCAGUUUAUGUAUUAGGAAAUCUUUUCAUGACAGUGAUAUGGUGGUGUUUUAAAUCAACAGAAUUAUAUAUUAAAUGUACAGUAUGUAAUGUUAUAGUAUGGCCUAUAAUCUCAGCCAUGGUAACUGAUACAGUCAAAAUCAUGCUGCAAACUUUAGCAUUACUUGUUAGUUACUAGUUUACUCUGAAAGAAACAUGAAGACAGUAUGUGAUCGCGAUGAGCGUUUGCAUAUAUCUAUCAGAACUAUUCACUGUGAUAACCAGAUUCUGCCUUAUGCUGAAGAUGCAGUUUUUGUCUGUUUUUGUUCUCUGUAGCUGAAGGUGUUUUCCAGUACUGUAAAAGUUGUCCUGGCGCACAGUUCUCAUUCGUCUUCUGGUGGCUUUGUGAAAUCAUAUGCCCAAAUGGGGAGGUUUACUACUCUUUUUAAAUCCUGUCACUUUCAUCUUUUUCUCAUAUUUCUCAGACUUUUAUACUCUAACCACUUUUGUAAGUGUGAGAAUUUUGUUUACAAAAUUGAAAAGGUAAAUACGAUCUUAAUGUUUAAAUGAUUGAAAUGCUGAAAAAUAUUUUACGAAAUUUUAUUAUCAGUGUAAAAUUUCUCUACGUACAAGGGGAUAAUCGGAUUUGGAUUAAUAUCUAUGCAAAGCAUUAACAAACAUACUAGAUCACAAAAAACAAAACUACAAAAAAAAAAAAAAAAAAAACUAAAGAAAAGGCUCAAACACAUGUACGGCUUUUACAGCAUCUGUUGGUUCUGAGUCCAUGCAGCUGAAUUUUACUUGUUACUUGGAUUGCUUUGUCUAUUGUCAGCAAAAAGGAAAAAAAGAGAAGCAGUUAAUGCAUGAAAACCGUUUCGAUCUUCUUGUAAGGGAUCUGAUUGCACCGUGUAAAUUUCCUGUAUAAAACAAAAGCAUGACCUACAUGUGCUUUGUCUCUGACAACUGUUUUCAUGAGGAUUAUGCUUCAUGUGUUGAAAAUGUAAAAUAAUUGACGGGAAGUAUGUGUCAGGUAAUCAGUUACGGUUAUAUUCUUUUACUUGACUGCCUCAUUGAAAAGAACAGCGUUGCUGAAACCAGAAUGUAUUUCAUCAUUUUUAUGUAGGACCAAACAUAUUACUGAAACUAGCAUUCUUUCUGUUACUGUGACGUUUGUGUACCUUUCCAUGUGUUUAAUAGCUGCCCUCUGCUUUGUUGUGGCCCCUCCAUUUCAUUUGCAAGAGGCUGCAUUGUACAGACACUCAUAGCUAUUGAGCUGUGAGCGGGUUUUGUUUUUAUUUUUAUUUUGCAUGUCUGACCAUCACAAGUAUUGGUGAUUGAUAAGCUGUGCACUUUUAUCUCUCUUUUUAUUUAACAUCUCUAUAUACGUGUUCUGCAUUUGUGAAAUUACUACAUGAAAUCACUUCCUACAUUUACUUGGCACUUUAAUAGAUACCCAAUCCAUUCCCGAUCUCCCCCCAUUUAUUUUUCACCUCUCUGAGUGACUGUUAAGUGCACUGGGUCUAUCCCCCCCCCCGUUUGGCCGACUUUGCCUUCUACUCUAAGACAAGUAUUUUUGAAAAGGAAAAAAGUAUCUGUUAUCUAUUUAUUAUUUUUUACUUGGUCAAUGCAAAAAAAAAUUAUAAUAAUAUAAAAAAAACUUUUUUAUGUAGUGUUAGGAAAAAGUAUAAAAGUUUCCCGAUAUUACCGAAAUGCAUUCAAGAAGGCAGGUUACCUUUCUGCAUCUCAAUUCACUGACCGUUUUACCUUUUAUAAAGCUUCAUCUGUGGAUCAUAGUGUAUUGUUACCAUGAACUGAACCAGUCCAGAUCAUAUCUGGUCCAGAAAGGAGAGCAUGCAGACAAGACAAGGUCCUUCAUCAUAAGUUAACCGAUAACUUGUUCAGUAUCUAAUGUAUGCACAGUUUUCGUGUAUAUAAAUGCUACACUUAUACAUUUCUAUAUUUUAAAAAGUAAGAGUAGAUCAUAAAAUGUCAGGAGUAUGGAGAAAAAAAAUGAAUUCUAUAUAUACAUGCAUUAAAUGAACUGUAUGUUUUUACAUUUUAAAAUGCUUGAAGUGGACGCUAUACUGUCCCUCUGUUCAGGGGUUCCACACUUUACUCAAUCUCAUGGUUUAAACACACAGAUCUGUUCAUCAUCAAGUGUGCUCACACUUCUAGCCAAAUCAUAAAAGAAUCCCUGCUGCAAAUGUACAUGCAGUUUUGCUUUUCAGCCUCUAUACACUGAACCUUGUUGAAGCUUUGUGAAAUAAUAUCUUCUUAUGUCUUUGUUUUGUAGUGUUUUCAGUAGAACUGUUAGUUUCUGCCGAUAUUCUUUUAGUUUGUGAUUUGUGUGUGUGUGUGCAUUGGGAAUUUUAUGUUUAAGUACUGUAAAAGUUGUCUUCACAUGCAUCAAGGUCUGUUUGCUGCAGUGUGUUGUAGAUUUGUGAUUUGUUUGCAGUGGUUGCUCUAUCCACUCACUUCCUAGAUUUUCAAAUAUCGGUUUUGGCCAGUUUUCUUUUAGCAAAAAUAUUUUCACAAGUGUCCUAAUAAUGCGGAAAAAUUUAAUAUAUUUAUUUUGCAGGAUACAAUCAAAACAAAUUAAGCCGUGUUUUCAUUUCGUUAACUUAUAUAGUUAUAUCUAAAGUUUAACAUUUCUAUAAUGAUGUGAACAAAAAUAUGAGUAUUCUAAAAAAUUGGGGAUGUAUGUUUUUUUUUUUUUUUAUACCUAAUUUCCAUAUAAUUCUCUUCAGUGAUGAAGACACUUCAAAUUUUAAAGUGGUUAUUUAUUUCAAAAGGUUUUUAAUUGCGCAGAUGCUAAUUUUCUGAGUGUGCCAAUAGAUCUUUAACCACCUUUAACCCAUUCAAAACAGUUUUUGUUUGUUAGUUUUUUUUGUGGCCCAUUCAUAGUUAAUUUUCUUUCUAUUAAUUUCCAGAUCAGUAAUUUGCCAAAACGACCAGUUUAUAGGGCCAGAAAAAGAAUAGUGCAGACAGUUUGCUUGUACACUUUAAUUGCAUUUUGUCUAUAAUUGACAAGCCAUUGAAAAAAAAUAUAUAAAGUUUGUUGUUUGUAAAAAAAUAAUAAUAAUUGAAAUGCUUCUGCUACUGACUGCUACUGUUAUGUAUUCAAUAUAGAGAUGCUCUUGAGUAAUUGUCAUUUUGCCACAGCAACUACCUAGUGACUUUGUUGACCAACGGUAAUAUUUUACUUUCUUAUUUUAGGACACCUUUAUUUAAAAACAAAGCAGUUAUGUACCUUGGUGUAUAAUCUCUCCCAGGGCCAACCAUUUACAUGAGACUCUAUUUGCCUUCAGACUUCAACACUAAAAAACCUGCUUUAUAUUGGGUGAACUUUUGCUGCAUGGUACUGAAUAUUAAAAUACCCGCAAGUCUCGAUGUGAUGUCCUGCUUUUUCGCAGUUAUCAAGCUCUGAGUAUAUCUGAACUCUCUGCUAAUGCAUUACUAAAACUUUUGCAACUGGAAAUAUCAUUUUUGACGAAGUGGUUUUGUAUCUCUUUUUUUUUCUUUAUGAACAAAAAAAACAUUGUUAUAGUGCUAAAGAGACAACUUGAUAUUGCAACCAACUGGAUUUGAAACGUAUACAUGACAAAACUUUAAAAUACUCUGUGCAUUUAAUGAAUGUGUCUCUGUGGUUCAUAUAUAUACAAAGGCAGCUAAUUUCUAUUUUUUUCAAUGUAUGAUAAUUCAGAUGUUGCACAUACAUUUGACUGCAAAGUUCAGACGUUAACUCAAUUUGUUGCAAGAAGACCUAACUAUACUCACCAAAUAUGCAAACCUAGCUUUCAGGAACAUAGAUCUGCAGCUUUGUGGUUUGUUUUAUCUGACCCUUUAAAACAAAAGGAAAAUAUGUUCCUAUCACUACAUGUUUUCUAUGAAAUAUAGAAAACAAAAUAAUAAUAAAAGAAUAUAAAACAUUGUGGGCUUUGUAAGUGUGCUACUUAUUUAAAACAAAAUGUUAUCAAGCUUAAAUUCCAUUGUCCUUACUGUAUUUUCCUGUGGAAGCUUAAGUCUUUGUACCUUUGCAUUAAUAUUUGUUUAAUGAAUUGAAUAAAAUGUUGAAACGCA